GAGGCAUGUCUUAGCUUCAGCAAAUCAAAAGUUUCAGAAUAUUUUGUUUUUGCUGCCUUAGAAACCCAAGGAUUUUGCCGGCGGUCCAGUAAUGUUCUGAUCUGCUGCAAAACUUUACAGUCAGCACAGCCGUCUGUGCAGGUGGAUGUGUGUAUAUUGUGCAUAAAUGCUGAUAAGACAGAUCCCAGGCCUGAAAUUCUGGUCUUGCAAAAGUGAGUGAGAGCUUUGCCACCAAUUUUGGUGAAACUCAGCAGUCUGGCAGUCUGAAAUCCAUCCUGUCCGGGAUGGGAAUGAGUGAAGUGUGAGGCUCUGAGGGCUUCUCCACACCACAACUGUAACGGGAGUGAGCUCUAUGUCUGACUGGACUUAAUAAUGCUUAAUGUGAAAAGUUAAUGUGUUCUCCAAGUUUAGUCAGAUUCUAAUGAAUCUUCUCUGAUUACUAGUUGUGACGUUGCUUAGCAUUAAUUGUGGUGUCUUUGUUUCUUUCCUUUUUCUAUGUAUUUUCAUUACAGGUCUUGGUCAUAUUUAAAUAGGAAUUGACAAGUCUCCAAAGCUUUGAUGGUUGAUUUGGCCAGGUGUUCAGAAGGCCUUUGGCUAAUUCCAAUUCUCUUCUCUGUCUCAGUUAAGACAUCAGUCCACAGAUCUUGAGUGCAAGCUCUCUGUUAUCAUUCCUCACAACUCUCAUUCAAUACGGUUAGAAUUAAGAACAUUUUUUUUCUCCAUGUUCUGGAAGAUUUCUGUGCACAUCUAGUAAAUAGAUAUUAAACAUUGUUCAAGAAAAGUGGUAUGUGGAAAGGACUGACUUUUCUUUUUUCUUUUUCUUUUUUCUUUUUUUACUAGAGAAUUAGAUUUCUUCUUUUUUACUGAGCCAUACACAUCUGUCCUGAGUUUUCAUUGCUGGAUUAAAGGCAUUAAAGAAAUAUCAACAGAGUAAUAUCUUAACUUAUUAUUUUUCACCUGUUGAUAAUCCUUGGCAUUUAAAAUGUCAUUAUUUUAUUUUUGAGACAGAGCUUUAUGAAGAAACCCUCUGUGUGGUGUUUAUUGUGCAAUAAAUAUCAUGUUCCGCAACAAACUUCAGGAGUUAAACCAGCAGAUUAGCUCAAGGAGAGCAGACAGAUCUCAAAGGUAGCUUUAUAGUUAUAUUGCAGGUCAGAGAAUCAGUGCAAAUUUUGUAACUUACAAAUUGCUGAAUUGCAGGAAAUAUGUAGAGUGGUACCCUAAACAAAUAUGUUCUUCAUGCUGUUCUUGAAUAUAAAUCUUACUCCUAUUCCUUUUCUCUUAAUCUAGAUAGUUUGACUUAACAAAUCAGACCUUGGAGUGCUAUAUAGUUGAGUUUUUCAGGUAGUCAGGAUUUUAAUUCACUUCUGUAUUCUGAUUUCACUGUUCUCUGUUUUCACUUUUUCCCUGCAUCCAUCAGAAUUGCUAUCUACUCCUUUCAGAUAUACUAAAGUUUAGGAAAACCAAAUAUUUGUUGAGAUUUUUAGUUCAUAUUUAAGGCAUUUUUAGCAUGGAAUAGGUAUUUUUUUUUUGAUGAUGAUGAUUUAGCCUGGGGAUGAAUGCAUGAUGCUGGCUGAAAAAUCCUUUUGCAGAACCAAGUCCAUUUUUGGUUUCCUUUCUGAGAGCCUGCUGGAAGCAGUGAUAGAUGGUGCCUACUUUGGGUGUCACGAUUUUGCUCUGAUUUUCUUCAGAAAAGUCUGACCACCCUUGUUCCAUCUGAUAGUAACUGUCUUUUUAGAAGACAUUCAUCAUUAAAAUGCAAUGAUAAGAGUAAUCAAAAGGAGUUUCAUUUCUGUCCAGUGAGACAAUGAACAGAGCUUCCCACAUGUAGUGAAGAGUGAACUCUUGGUCAAGCAGUGAGGGCAGCAUUGCGGAGACAGGUGACUCAACACCCAGAAGCAAGAGACAAGAAGUGGCCUGAUAGGUAGCUGCCUCAAAAACUGGUACAGAAAAGCUGUGUUGGAGAAUUUUUGCUGGAUUUCUUAGCUCUCAGCCUCUCACCCUCCUUGCUUUUCCCAAGAAGUCCUCUUAGGAUACCAGCAGUAUUUAUUUAAAAAGUUAGUAACUUCACCUCUUUUGCUAACUGUAGCAAAUGGGACUGUGCUACCAGAUCCCCAGAAAUGGAAGUAUCCAUUCCCUUAGCCACUCAGUGGAAGAUUUUAUCACAUCAUGUUCAAGUGUUAAGUUUGGAAUGGCUUCUGGUGUCCUCCUUGGAUGACUUUCCAGAGCAUACGAUGUGUCAUUUGCCUCAGGAAUGAGUCAGUGAAGAUGGAUUUGUAGUGACAGACCUUAUGUUAAUAGAAAAAAAAAAACCAACAACAACCUAGAAAACAGUGUAAUAAAGUGAAUGAACAACAAAGUAGGUGAAAUAAAUCUCCAAAGAGAAAUGAUGUCUCAGCAGAGAACCAGAUUUAACCGAGAGAAGAAAUUUAUCGAGAACUUAAAGAGAAUCUGCAGGAAGGAAGGUUAAAGUGAACUAAUCAAUAAACGUUUAGAAAGUUGUCAUUUCCCCAAGUCUCCUAACACUCACAAAGUCCUAAUCCUGGCUUCUUAAACUAUAUAGUAAAGCUGAGGUUGCAGGACAAGAUAGUAUAUCUGGCCUGGUGCUUGCAGACGUAAACAAAGUUCCCUAUAUUCUCUUCAUCCCUGGGACCUACAAGCAAACUAAGCUGAUUUAACAAAGCUGAAGUUCUGACUUAGAAUAGCCUCAGAAGCUAUAAAACAAAUUUGGUUUCACCUUGUUUUUCAGAAAACUAAUAAUUCAGAAUGCAGAUGAUUCCAGAUAGAGAUGUAUUUUAAAUGGCUUUACGAGUUUAAAUUAAUAGAUAGGAGUGUAUCACAAAAUUGUAAUAAAUGUGACUCUGCAUUACUGAAGCAUUAUUGAUAAGUUGCUUUUAGUGACAAUGUUAUUGCUCAUUAUAUCAUGGAACAUACUGCAGGCAUCACAGAUAAUUUCUGGGAAAAAAAUAUCAGAAUAUUUACUACUGAGCCUGAUAGAAUUAUUCGUUUGGAUGAGAAAAAUCAGGAAAAGGCUCUGCUCUGACUCAUAUGGCUGAUCAUAAAGUGCAUAACAGAAAUUCUCCAUCGGUGCAGAAAUAUUUACAGUGAGGAGCAGCUUUAUCUGCAGAAGAAUAAGUAACGUUCGUUUUAAAUUAGGCUAACAUACAGCACUGCAUAUGUGAGUAUUCAUAUUUUGGAAACUUUUGCAGUAUGAUUACUCUCCUGUUACACAAUCUGGAACAUAAAUUGGCAGCAUUAGGAGGAGUUUUUCACUCAUUGGCAUAAUGGUUCAACGUGUUAUGGAAAUAACUUAGAUUCAUUUAUAUUCAAGGGCUUUGGAAGAAUCUUUAUGUAGGAUGGUGCUCAAAUGCAAAUUUCCAACAUAUCCAAAUUCACUUGACAUAUUUAUCUCUUAAAAUGAAUUAUCAAAUACAAGGAUAAUACUAUGGAAAAAAUCCAUGUUUUUAGCCAACAGCAGUCAUUUUAUUAUGGAAUGGUAUUCAUAUAUAUCCAAUUACCAUGAAAAUGUCAGAUAUUUUCUGUAUUUAUUUCGCAAGUACUCAAGGAUAUGUGUGUGCUUUGUUGCACAUUUUAUUUAUUUAUUUAUUUAUUUAUUUAUUUAUUUAUUUAAAGCUGUCUGUGGCAAGGCAGUAACAAAUAGCUGCACAGUUAAGUCUGAGGGUAACCUGUGAACAGCCGACUUCGAAAGUGAUCUAACAUCCAAAUGCUUUUAUGGACCACCCUGAGAGCUACUGCAUCUCAUGAGGAUGUGGGGCAGAAUUUAACAUCCCCAGCAGAAGUCAUGAUACAUUGCUUUGCAGGAAGAUGAGUAUGUGCUAAUUCAUGUGUCCUCAGAAGUGUCUUCUUAUUGCCAUUAUCUGAUGCCCAUAAAGGGAGAGUGACCAACUACAGAAUCACUCGGAACAACAGAUCCAUGCUUGUUGACAGAUGUAAAAAUUAAGUGUAGUGUUGAUUUUCUGUUCAUCUCCAUGUUUCACUGCUAUCAGGAAAAUGGCAGAGCCCAGGAGUCCCAACUGUCAGUCUUUGUUGGUACAAGGCCACACUUUCAUCCAUUCAGAAAGCUCAGGAAACAUUAACUGCUGGAAUACUUUCUGCUGGUCUUAAUCAGAGUCCACAGAAAACAACAGCUGAAAGCUGCCUGAAAGGAAGACUGGGGCCUUCAUAUGCUUCACUGGGAAUCUUUCAAGAACUAUUGACACAAGCACCAAAUGAAGAUAUUUUCUUUCCAUGAUAAGCAGGUUCUCUUCACCCAGAAUGUCAGAAACUAAAUUCAUUACAGCAUACAAAACCAUUUGAAGGUGGGCUGAAAAUUCCUGUACCACUGGCUGUAGUGUGUUCAUCCAUCAUGGCCUCACAUCCAUGGUUUAUCUCAUCUGAAAUCUCUGCUCGUUUCUCUUGGAUAUUUUGGAGGGGAUACUAGGUACUGUUACUUAUAUCCAUUCAGAGAAGACUCCUGUAUUUCUGUAAAGCUAAUUAAAGGUAAAUGGAGCUCUAUGUAAUUAAGUGAAAAAUGUAAAUGUGAAGCUGGGGAGCUGCUUCAGUCAAGUGACAUAAGAGAAAAGGGGAGUAAGGUUCUUGAAAAUCCCACUGUGGAAAAGCUAAUUCACAGACAGGACAGGGGAACUGAGUGGGUUUUAUUUUUCAUUCCCACGUGCUGAAAUAUUUUCAAUGCAAGUCUAAAAUAAACAUUUAAACUAAAAUUUAAAAUAGCAUUGAAUGGUUCAAGGAAGCUUCUGUGAAUACAGAGAGUUAGAUUGAAUCCCAAAGUCUGAGAUGCCUGCAGCUCAAGUAAUACUGUCCCUUAGGCAUUAGCUGUGUCUUGAUCUUAUCUAUAGAGUAUCAACCAAGGAAACAGAGAAACAUGGGCAUCGCUUUGAAGAAUUGCCUGUUCGAAGGCACAAAAGUCUACCCAUGAAUCUCCAUCAUUUUCUGGGUACCUGAGAAGGACUUAAGUCUCUAAGAAGCCAACAGACACUGUUUGCCCCACCAGUGCAGAAACUAUGUGUGGAGACACCAAGUUGUCAUCUCCCAGGUUUAUUCUUGUUGUUUGUGCUGUCCAGCCUAAAUGUCACUCAUCUUAGGGAUCUGCCCUCUCCUGAGGAGGCAGCCUUUCUGCCCUCUUUUGCACAAGGAGCAGCAGAGUUGGCAAGAAGGUGAGGAAGGGAACACCCUUGUCUCCCAGAAGAGGGAUGGUGAACUGAAUCCCAUGCAUUGCCCCUCAUAUCUGUCCCACCAUCCUUCACUUCUCGUGAUUACUCCCUGAUCCUUCUCUACACAGCUGCCUUGGGGCUUGCUACAAGCUCCCCUGCUGCCUGCUUGUGUAGGAUGUAAGGCAUUACACGCUUUCCACAGUUUCUCGGGGGACCCCUCUAACCACAAGUAGUUUAUAGUUCAAUGUAUAUUUGCAAAUGGAUAUUUUUGCCUUAUAUUGCAAUAGGCUGCUUAGCCCUGGGCAGUACUGUGUUAGGAAUGGCAUUAAUUUCCUCCACAGACUCCUGAGCAGAAACUACAAAGACUGGAAGUAGAGCACAGAGAGACUGUGUUGGUGGCCUCAGGGGAAGCUCCAGACAGCUCGGGACUACAGAGCAGGACUCGGGGUCCUGGGGCACUGUGGAUGAACUGCUGCAGCUGAAUGCAAGACGUGACCUUUCCUCCCAUUCACUGCCAACCAAAAGGAGGAAGCAGAUUUCUGGGUCGACAUCCUCUCCCGAGGAUGCAGAUAACCACACUAUGCUCUUACAGCUUUACUUUCAGUGGAAUAGUCCAGCAUACCACGUAUACCAUCACAACUUUUAGCCCCGGCAGGAGAGUUCAGCUAUUAGCUUUUUGCUGUGUUAUCAAACAGAAUAUUCUCUUUGCUGUUCUGUAACCUCCUGAAACUGCAAGUGGGGACAUGGGCAAUGCAUCCUUGCAAGCUUUCAAGCUGUAUGCUGCUCUCUCAUAGCAGCUAUCUCUCAUGCCUCGGGGCUGCAGUGCUAUUGUACUCUCCCAUUGGACAAGAGAAUAUAGAAAGAAAGGUUUAGUCUAAUCAGGGAAGCAAGUAGCAGGGUGUGAAAGAUAAAGGAGAAGGAUACUAGCAAGGAAAAUAUAGUUCAGUUCCAGGAAGUCAUGUUUGUAUUGAACAGUGCUGAGGCUGACUGGGAAGAGAAGAAAUUGAAUAGUUCAUGCAUUAAUACUAGCGGGAUAGUUUUGUGCAAAAGGAAUUGGAAAUUCUCACUGAUGAAAGGAGGGCUGAUGUAACUGAUGAGAGUUAACAGGAUGAUUCACGUGAAUUUUUAAGUCUCAGGUUACAGCUCUCAUAAGAAGGACUGAGUUGGGGGGAUGGUACUCUCUCUGAUCCUACCUCCUCUAAAGUGAUCUGUGGCUGCACGAGUGGGAAAGUAUGCUAACUGUAACCUCCAGAGCAAUGUUGGGGAAUAAGGAAGGAGGAAUAAAGAGAUGAUGUCUGUUACAAAACACUGAAUCACACUGGAAGGUGGGAUGAAAAAAACAUCUGUCUGCAUUGUAGAGUGAAAACUGCAUUAUUAUGGGGAACUAAAGUUUUGAAGAUCUCACACAACUAGUAGAAAACUAUGAGUUUAAGUGAUUGAAAAUAUUUUUUUUUCUUAUGCACAGAAGGAGAUUCCACUUGACAGCUCUGUGAUGGGAGCAUCAUUCCAACAGAUAAUGAUAGAUUAAUUCCAGGACUAUGAGUUGUUGAUUGCCUGUGGCUUAUAUGGUCUGGUUACAUUCAUUAUGAACAAAGGACAGUCCUAACAAGGAAUAUUAAUAUUUGGAGCUUCGCAGAAUUGAAUUUCUCAUCAUUAAGGAAUAUUAAGAGAAUCUGACCGGAGGGUGGAUGCAAGUCAAAAAAUAUGCUUGCAAAUCAGGAGCUGUUUAAGAAGUUUGCUAGAUGGGCAAAAAGCCAUGGCCUGGAGUCAUCAAUAAGGACAACUUUGGCAGAGUUCAUGAUGACUGAGGAAGAAAGCCCAUGACAACAGAUUUCUUGAGCACAAAGGACUGUAAAGGGGCAGUGGACUGUUGCAUGGAGACAACCACAGCAUAUGGCUUCUAGCACAGCAUAUGAAUGUCCUUGGAUAUUGGCACUUUUUCCUACUUUUUGGAAUGAUCCGGUGCUGAGGUCCAUCCACUAAGAGGAUGACCCUGGCUGAAUGACAAGGGUAAUGCAGGCAGCAGCAGUUUAGGGCUGCUCUCACAAAGUUAGCAAUUGCCUUCAGCCUGACAUCCAGAUUCUGACACUGGGUGAAAAAGAUAACCUCCUUUGGUGUUCUUGGAGAAACUACUUUUUCCCCUUUGCAAAUGAUUUGCAACUUGUGUUUGAAAAUUCAUUUGCAAAUGAGCUUGUGUUUGAAACAAAAACCAUCUUAACAUGAGGAGGACUUUAAUUUAGGGGAAAAAACUAACAGCAGCAGCAAAUCAAUGGCUCAGCUAUACAAAUAAUGUGAAAUAUCUGCCUACAUGUUAACCUCCAGCAGUCUUUUAUCUUCCUCUUCUUAGCUGCUUGCCUGAGCAACAGACGACUGCCCUUUCAACACACUGUUUUCCUCCCACGCUUUGUUUUUUGAUGCCCCACUCUCAGCCCAACAUCAUUAGCUGUUAAAGUCCAUCAUCUGAACUUAGGCAGAGUCAUCCCCAGCCCUGAGGAGAAAUGGUACUCAUGUUUGUGUAACAAAGACUAUGUCACUUGACCUUGCAUGACUGCAAUUCUGGUCCCGUCCUAUGUCCUAUGUGGAUGGGGACUGUAACAGCCUUGAUGGAAAAGGGGGAGAUACCUUGGUUCAGAGCAGUGUUGCCUUCUGCAGCCCUACCACCCCAGCAGCUUGGAUGCUCCCAUCCCAGCUUGAAGUACAACAGCUAUUGAGGACUUAGUGCAGUCAGGGUGCUAGGCUGCAUGAUGGGACUGCAAGUUCUCCAAGCUGUCUCCACAUAAUCUCUUUCUAAAGACACCAUUUAUUUAACAAAACAUAAAUUUCAGAGAUUGGACCCAAUGACCUCCAGAGGUUCCUUCCAACCUUAACCAUUCUGUGAUCUGGUGAAAAUUGCCUUCUGGUCAUCCAAACAUGCAAACCAGCAUUUUAUUUAUUUAUUUAUUUAUUUAUUUAUUUAUUUAUUUAAGUGGAGGUGAAAAUUUCAGCAAAUUCCAUUAGAAUUCAUUUAUUCUGGACGCAUUUGCUCCAUUUUUAUUUUCCUUGCUUGAAUAUGAUACAUACUAGCUAGCAAAAGUGACAGGUGAAACAGGUGACAUUUUGAAUGAUUGCAAGAGAAUUCUCAUUGAAACUAAUUUUGGAAUUAAAAAGCAUUAGAAUUGGCACUGAAAAACUUUUACUAUAAGCGUGUCAUCUAAUCAGGGAACAGAAAACUAUCAUCUGAUGUGCGUUAUCAAUCAAUAUUAACCAACACAGCUCAACAAAGAAUGUUGAAUGCUGCUGUAAAUUUCUCUCAAAAAAACUAUAAAUCAAGAAUAUACUCUUAAAUUAUAUGACAAGUAAAUUCUAGCAGGGAAUUACAUAGAGGUGAAAAAAACCUCUAUAUUGUUUGCCAACAAUUCACAAAACAAGAGGUAAAGUGAUGGAGUCAUUGUGAAAAAUAAGCCCAGUUCUAAUUUUUUGUAAAUUGUUUUGCGGUUGCGAUUACAUUUUCUGAAACGUUAUCCAUUUUUCUGUAACUAAGUAAUUUUGAUUCAACGAGAUUCAAGCAAAAAUCAUUUUAGAAAUGAUUGCUGUGUGUAUGGAAAUGUUUCAGAGCUCAGAUAACUGUCCCGAUGAAUGCAUGAAUAUUAAUCUAACAAUAUAUACUGGUGGUCACGUGGGUCUAGAAAUUAUUAUCUUCUCAAACAGGGAAAAAUGAAGAAUAAAAAUGUCAUCUAGUAUUUAGCAAGGUUGGGGAAACCGUGAAAAUGGACCUAAUGUUAACAAGCAUUCAAAACGUGAUAGGAAGUACUCUGGUGCCAAAAGAGGUGCAAGCACUGUGUUGCCUCACUCCCAGGCACCUUGUAGCAUCUGCAACAUCUGUGUUAAACUCACUGCACAGCACGUGUAUAGAAGUGCUUGCCUUAGGGUGGUGUCCAAGAACUUUGCUGUGAGAAGACGAAGGUAGGCAGCAGCAAGCACUAACAAAUAGUGCACCUUCCUGAAUGCUGUCCUUCCACCAGAGUUGAGUGCUCAGGGAAGGUUUUUCCUUUCUGAAGGUGGGCUGUUAAGUCUGCCUUGCUCUGUGAAAGCUCCACACAGUCUACUGAGAUCCGGACAGCUUGCACUCAAGCUUUUUUUUUGUUACUGGUUGUAAAAUACUUCAACACUAAUUGGAUCCUCAGACUACAUUUUUCCUGUUUUCAAAGGAGAGCUAAUUUAGGCAAAGAGAGCAACAAGUGCCCCUUUACCCUCUCUCAUUUCCAACAAGAAUUUGAUAAUUUUGUGCAAAGCAGAAUUUACCCCAAAUUAGCCCAAAUGCAGCUCCAGAUACUGCGCAAAGGGCCUGUGGUUGGGGCAGCAUGGGGGCUUUAAUACAAUGUGCUGAUCCUUCCUGGUAGAGGUGAGCAACUGCAGCAUCCCAGCUGGAUCCUAAAAUAGAGUGCUUGUGUUGGUAGAAAAAGCAUUUCUGGGGACCCCACUGCAGUACACUGCAGGAAAGCACAGCCCCUGCUUUAGGGGUCCCAGCUGCACUCAUUUCUGAGAUGGCACUGAACAGGGCUGGGAGAGAAAGAGCCAGAAUCAGACACUGGUCGAGAAAAAAAGAGAGCAAGAGCUGCAGCUUUCAGGUGCUUAAUUAAUGCAAAGAUAACCUUAAUCUUAUUACCAGGGAGAACUUGGUGGCAGGAAUCUCAUUUAUACUCAGCCCAUUCCCUCUCCUGGCAGAAGUUCCCAGACCUCAGGCAGGGUAAGAGCAGUGCAGAGAGAACAGCUGAAACUCGUGGCCACAGAGUGGGUGAAAGAAAAGCUUUGAGAAAAGGGGUAGCUGGCAGUCUGAGCAUGUUAAAUGUGUUGGCUCAAGGCCUUUUAGUUUUAUUCCCACAAAAGAAAUCAAAAGAUAAGCCGGAGAGGACUUCUUCCCCUCUAUCAGUCUGAACUAAAUUGCUUUAGGCUACGUUGAUGUUGCUCAUGAUACCUCAGUUGCUAUUACAAGUGCUUGCCAUUAAUAAAUCCACUAAUAAGCAUAUGAAUCUGUAGCUAAAUUGCUCAAAAAUUUCUCAGAACAAACAUUUUCAAAGAUUUUUAUCUUUAUGACACCAAAACAGAAUCUAUUUAAAAGUGUUUCAGAAAUAGAACUAAGAAUUUAAAAAUGGUUUUGAGAUGCUGUUAAUAGUUUCUCCUGCACAAGUGCUUUAAUGUGCAUACACAUAGAGAUGAGACAGAUACUUAAUAUUUUAUAUAGUAAAAGUUCAUGUUGUGGACUAUGGAAAUUGUGGUCUGAGAAGUCUUGGGGAGAAGCAAAUGCUGAAGAAAUUUCAGCAUCUGUUUGCUGUGUAGUCCUUCCUAUCUACUCAAGGCUACAGGAGGGAGGAAGGGCAACUCCAUCACCAGACCUCUGCACAAAGGCUGCUCAGAGAAGGGAGUUUGCUCCCUAUUGGUGCUGUGUGGUGGCUGCCUCUGCUGGAAAUCCUCCUUCACUGCUUCCAGAUCUGACCCAAGAUCUGUCUGCUUGAAGAAAAAGACAAGCAGGGAUUGUCUGAGUCACAGCAUAACCUCAUGCCUAUUCCACAUACCUGAGUUGGGACGUGUGAGCCCUCAAACAUAAAGGAGGAAGUAAAUCCUCACUGUAGGAGCUUCGGAGCGUUAGGGUUUAUCCAAAAUGCCAUACAUUAUGUUAAAAAAUAUAAAAUACAGAAGAUGAAUUGGAACCAUAGGUAUCUGGUUGUGCCAGUCUGUUUUUCUAUACACACGUGUGGCAAAUUCAGUGUUUAAACAUAUAUGUGGUUAAAAUGAGUGUUUUCGACAUAUCAUAACUAGAGCUGUGCAAGAAGACAGUUGCUGUUAAGACAACAUGAGAAAGCUCACUUGCUGGACACUGCCCCUCACUCAGUGAGGAUUUGAUGGCUUCAUACUCUGAAGCAAAAUUCUACCAAUUUUAAAAGAGCUUUUAAAAAAGGAAGGAAAGCCCUACAGCGUCAAGCAGCUUCAGCUUUUACCCCUGAGAAAAAGGCUUCAGUGCCUGCAACUUUUUAGUUCUGCAAUGGAAAGGUAUGUUAUCGAGUGCCAAGGGGGGAGGUGGGUGGGAGUUGUAUUGCACUCCCUUUUCUCCUUGGCCUUCCCACACCUGUUGUGAGAGCACUGUGGUUUUCAGGAGGUGGCAGCAUCUAGCACGGUGUCCAAGGGAACCCAAGGGGAGAUAGUUGUUGUAGGCAUGGCAGAUCCCUGCUUGGGAGCCAUCCCUUCAGUCAUCCACAGCUCUUUUGUCAUUAGGCAGCAUCAGGAUGGCAGAGCCUCCUGCGUGACUGCUGGAGGAUCUGUGUUACACUUGUUAAACAUACAGGUCCCCGUGUGAUUAUUCAGAUGAGCAGUCAGGUGAUUCAUUUCCUCUUUUAAGCAUCUAGGCACCGAGCAGAGCACCGGGGCUGCUAUUAUUUGUAUUUGCAGCUGCUUGUCAUGGCCUCGCUCAUUACUGCCUGUGCAGAACCAUUAGUGGGUGGAGUGUUACUGACACAGACACACUUGCCCUGAGGAGCCCACAGUCAAAAGCAAACACUGGGAUAGUGAGGGCAACAAAUAUGCAAAAAGCACAGGAAGGAGAGAAUGAGGGCUGUAACACUGGGAGAUUAUGAGAUGUGCUUGUUACGUUCACCUCUUGCUAGCGCCUUGUUUUCCAGUCUCUGCUGACACCUAACCUGAAUGAUCUUGCAAGGGAAUCAUGUUCUGAAUUCAUAUAGCUUCCUGUGAUAAGCUGUUGAUGCGUGAGUGGUAUUUUUGAGACACAGAGGAGACAUGUGAGAGAAACAGAAGCUUGAUUUCACGGCGAGUAGAAUAUUCUAAUCAGCGAGCAGCUUAUCGGCACACUUAUGGGCAGCAAAUGCUUCACAAAUCCUGGGGAAUGCCAGCUGAAAAUCCCCCUCAUUACUGACAUAGCUUUCAUGACAACCCUCCUCAGUGAUAUCAGCUAUUGUUUAUCUCGAGGAGCAAUGCUGCAGUUGGGUGGGAAGGUGUGCGGAGCUUUUCCUGCAGACAAAUGAAGGGCUGGAUUCAUGGGUGAGAAGCAGACCUGCUGCCAUUCGCAGCGCUUUUCCUAUUCAGUGGUCACAGCAAAUGACACCUUUUCAUUUUCCUUCCCUGCAUUUCACAGCACAAAAGGAAAACUUAAACCUAAACCAGCUAUUCCUAUUUUCGUACAGUUCUUUCUUUCCCCUUUCCAGAUGGUACAUGCAGGGGCACAACAUGAACCCGGCACAGAAAUGAGCAUCCAGAAGCAAGCGUUCCAUUAGCUCAGCUCUGCAUCUGAUGUGUUUAUUUGCAGUGGAUCUAUGCAGCAGGCUGACAAGCAGAAUCCUUUGCUUCACGUAUCACUGACAGAGCUCCAGUGAGCAGGCACCAAUAGGGAACAAACAGUGAGAAAAGCUUCAUCAAGGCAUGGCCCUUGUUUUCUUUUUCUUUUUUUCUCUUUUUGGGGACAGAUACAACUGAUCAAAACCUUGAUCAGUGAAGGAGGCUCAUCAGAGGCAAAAUUAAGAUAAUAGCAUCAUAGCUACAAAUUGUCAUAAGAGGCAUUUUAUGACACAAUUUAGUUGAAUUAGGUACUAUUGACCUCAGAAUGAUAUAUCUAGAAAGGAAAAAGGAAUUAUCUUAAAAGAGAUACAGGUCUUCUGAAUACAAAUGGUAAGCUGUGUUUUUCAACUUCAAUUUGUUUUGAGAUCAGGUAGGAUGCCUCCAAAAUGGAGGUCUCUGAUUUUCAAGCUCUUCUCAUGCACAACCCACAGAACCAGAAGGUUCACAGUGUGACAGAUAUGGCUUUGUCUACGCUAGUGUAGGAAGCUAGAGCAUGGGCCUGCGUGUUGACCUGGACCAUCCAUACUGGAAGCUGCUGGGAAGGGUCCUUGACGUGGCUUUGGCCUGUGCCUGUUGGCAUCCCGUGGUGUCAGGCACGGCCUGAGGUCUAGCACAGGCUGAGGACCAGUGCAGCUGCAGACCAGAUCCAGCCCCAUGCUCCAACCAAGCUCAGCCGUAUGGAUGAAAGCAGUGCUGUGCUAGUGGCCUCAGGCUAGAGGACAAUCCCUGCUUGUUCAUAGGAAUGCAGCUUCCAGUACUGGACAGAGAAAAGGCAAAAAACUGCCUUCUGCACCAAAAAAUAUUGUGCCAGUAAACAGCUCUGGUAACGACUUUCUGGCUAUUGCACGGUGACUCUCUGAGAGCAUUCUGCUGUAGUGGAGCAUCUCAGAAGGCAUGGUCAAUCUGGAAAUAUGAAGCAGCAGAAACUGGGCUAUUUCCAUAGCUGGACAUGCAGAGGGAUGUAACACACCGAGGAGUGUAUGCUCAUCAGGUGUAAGCACGCUAGCUCUCAGAGGUGGUGUAGGUACAUGGUGGCAUUGCAGUUUAUGGAAUGCAGCCCAGCUGGUAAAUACUGACAGCAUCCUAGUGUGCAGGUUGUGGAUCAGCUCUCUGCUAGUUGAGACAGCUGCUCUGGUGCCUUUCCCAGGCUGUCUGUGUCAGAUGGGAGGUGUGUUAGGCACUUGUUCAUGGUAGAGCACUGGAGCAGGAAAGGGUUGACCAAAGGGCUUAGCUAUUGUUGAGACAAAAGUAAUAGGCAGCAGGAGUCACUGAAAAUGAAAAUGAACUGAGCAUCAAUCAGUGCAGAAGUCCGGUUCACCUUGAGAAACAAUUAGUAUCUCCAACCCAGGCAAAAUUGAGAUGUCCUCUGUCACCUCCAACUUCAUUAAACCAAGGAGGUUUCCUACUGAAUGUACUUGACAAGCACACCACAAAUCCCGUCUGAGUUCUCUGAUGCUUUCAAAAAAGUGGCACCUCCUGGGGCCUGGAAUUUGCUGACACGAGUGUUAUAAAAGACUUUUUGUAGGAUUGAUGGCAAAUAAAAUACUCUGCUGCAGAUUGCAAGCAUCUUUACGGCACAGUUAUGGGUAUCCUUGCUCCAGGCUUGCAGACUGAUUCCCACGUGACAGACAGCCUCACAGGUUUUAUGCAUUUAACAAGUGCAUUGGCACUCUCCCCCAUAUUUCAGCAUAAAUCCAGGAAAACAGGCAUCAGGUGAAUGUCUAUUUUGAAUCUGACUUACAGAUUCUAACAUUCCUGUUUUUUUUGUGUGUGUGGUUGCAGAAAGUCUCACUUUUGCCUCUGCUUUCUGAAGCAGAAAUAAAAGACUGUAUCACAAAUGUCAGAAUCAAGAUGAGAACCACGUCUGAACCAGGGCUCUGUACGUGCACAUGAAAUACAUAUUAGAGCGAACAAUUCCACAUAAUGUUUUUAUUAAAAAUAGUUUAAAGGGAAGUUGAGAGAAACUAGAAAAACAGAGCCUUCUCUUCACAGGUGCUGAGCACCUGAAACUUCCAUUAGCUUUCUAUAGGCCUCCGUUUCUUUUAGGUUCAAGGUACUCUUGGAACAAAAUACACUUAAGAGAAAUGUUCUGCUUUGUAAAUGGCAGUGGCCAACUACAGACAAUAACAAGCUGAGGAAGGACAAGGGGCACUCUUCUGCACAAUGAUAGGAGCAGCUCUGAAAAAAGCCCAGAACGACUUGAUUUUUCUGUGCUUAUUUGAGCAGAAUGCUCCAGAGUAGGCCUAUUAAAAAUCUCUACUAAAUUUUAUAUUCAUUGAGAAGUGAUAUCAUUUGUAAUCGUGAACACCAUCUUUAGCUUUGACUUGAAGUACGUUAAGCUGCUUUUCCCUUAUCCUUUGUAACUUUGUGCAGUAAAGGAUUCUUAACCUCCUUCUGUAGCACUAUUCUGGGAGUCAACUUUCUACUGUAUGCCUAUCUUCUUUUAUCACAUCAUUGGCUUCUCUUUCCAUGUUGCAUAUUAGUACCACUCUUAUUUGUAGUAACCUCUAGCCUGACUUUCAAAAAUCCCUCUCUUUUAAAGUAUGCUUUAUACGUUGUCUAAUCAUCAUCUACUACAGAGCAGCAGAUUUCAGUGCCAAUGAGCAAAGUACUUGGCUUCCUUUCGCACUUGUGCAACCUGUUGAGACCCAAGGAAGUUGUGCGGGUGUUGCAAAGGAUUUGGCCAUACCGUUCAGAGUCUGAGAUACCUGCCUAAUCAUGGUGCUCCCUGAGAGACUUCUACUUCCCUGGAGGAUGUUCCUCACUCUGACAGGUCUGAAAGGAAACUCACAUUUCUGCAUUUUAAGGAACACCACAAUGCCUGUAUGGAAAUUGCACUGUCACACAAUAAAUAAAACGUGAGGUAAAAGGAUACUAUCUCUGCUCCAAAGAUUUGAUACUUCUUCCAAGAGAUGCAGUACAUCCAGCACUUCACUCCUUCUAAUUGUGGACUAUGAAAGCAUUGGCUGCGGAGGGUGCUGGACCUUACCAACCCCAUGAAGGAAGGACCAAAAAAUCCAAAUAAAAGUUAUUCAUAGAGGACUAUGGUGCUUUACCAGGCUGUGGUUACCGCCAGGAUGACGCUGAUUGGUAGCCCAGUGCCUGGGAUGGAUUAGGAUCACUUGCUGGGCAGCUUUUCAAUAUUCUGUUUUAUCUUCAUCGUUCAGCACGUGGCCCCAUGUCUCGGGUACUGCACUCCAUUCAAGCUGUGCUCUGGAUACAUAAUUAUUAAUUUCAUCAGCAGCUUUUUGGUGGCAGUCACUGCUAUUGUUUUCAAGUGGAUUGUGAAUAGCGCUGAGUUCUGUUUUUCCUCUUUGAGAUGAGGGGACAUUGUUAUCUUCAUUUUUCAGGUGGAACAAAAAGACACAGGAAGAUUAAAGUGCAGAGGUUCCACUAAUUUCAGACACCAAAGAUCUCUGUAAUUACCCUUGUGGAAAGCUGAUAGCGUUAGCAAUAGCCUUCAUGUGGCCUAAUGCUAACAAAGACUCACCAGCGGCUGUCACAUCUAUUUGCUGAUGGGGGAGGCUCUGGAGCCCUGAGCUCCAUCCUAAUGCUGGCAAGUGCACCAUAGAGAGAUGCAAGCUCUCUUGCUUGUCCCUUCUGCAGCACACGGUCCAUGGACUUCUGGCUGCCCUCCUCCCCACCCCUGCCUCCAGUUGCAGUGGGUGGCUUCGUCCCAUGUGCCACUGAGAGUGGGGACUCUGCUUCCAGUCCUGCUAACCAGAUCUCAGGAAAGCUUACAGUGUGGGUAAAUUUGGGUUGAUUUUCAGAGAAUUAGCAAAUGAUCUGUUAACUUUUCCAGAAGAUGGAGCCAGGGUAUACAUUGUUCCUUAAGGUUGUUUUGAGGGGGAACAAAAAAACCAAACAAACAGAACAGUCUGCUUAUUUCCCUAAGUAUUUAGCCUGCAGGAAAAUCUGAUUAGAAGACUUCAGCCCCACAGGUUAAAGUGUAGCCAAAUUAUGAAGCAGAGAAAUCUUGGAUGACUUUACUGGUAGCAGAGUACUUGUAGCAGCCUUGCUGCUAAUAAGAAGGCAUGUACACGCACACAUGCACCCACAGAGACUUCGUGCGCAUAGACAAGCACAAUAAUUAGCAGGACGCUGGUUGCCCUCUCAUUUAUUUCACUUGUUCUUUUCUGUAGAGCUUAAUCUUGCAGACAGUUUGCUUUAAUCCUGAGUGGAUGGAAACGGCAGGAGUCUGUGUAAAAUUGGUGUAUGUUUUCAGCCACUGAGAGCAGAAACCAUCAGAAGGCAAUGCUGAAUAAAUCCAGAGGAACACCAUGGCAUUAAGGGUGCAUCAUGCUGAGCAUGCCUACUGUGGUAGAAGGUGACUCCCAUCCCAGUGAUGGAUGAGAUCCUGAACGAGGUAGGAUCUCCUCAUGUUUCAUCUACGCAGAACUGCUGAAAGCUUCAUGUUGUGGUCUAAUUCAAAUUAAUUGAAUUGUAAUGGUAAACACAUAAUCAGACAAACAACAGAAGUACAAAGCGAAGGAGUCCACCACGGUCAUUCCUCUUUUGAAAAUAUGAUAACACCUGCACAGAAAAAAAUCAUGAAAGUGGGAGGAAAAAAAUCAUUUGCCUAUGGAAAAAAAAAAAAGUCAGGUCUUUUAAAAGGUGAGCUGCCAGAUGUUUUGUAUAUUAAUGAUAUCUUUUACAUAGUAUAAGAGAGGGUAAUGCAUGUAUCAGUAAGGGCUCAAAUUUAUAAGGAGUGUGAAACAAUAAUUUAAUCCUCCUGAGAUAUGUUAUCAGUGCCAACCCCAUGCUUUUUAUACACAUGUAAACUUCAGUGGAAACCAUCUUAACUGCUUUCCUUCUUAUUAAACAGUCUUCCAAAAUCUAUAAUUCAGCGAGACAUUAAGCAGUUGGCAUUUGUUGCUAUACAAUCCAAUUCUGCAAGCCCCACUGUGAAUUCAGCAGGGCAUUCUCCACCAGCCAGCUUUGUUAUCAGUAACUCUACAUGAAAGAACUUGUGUUUUCCCACUAAUGAAGAAAACUGAAGAAUAAUAAAGUUGUUCAGUAUUUUAGAACCUUACUGUGGAUUGCAGCCUUGAGAUUUAAAUGCAGAGAACUGUUGAGAUGCUCUUGAAUCCAAGUGUCUGUCACUGGUAAGUGACUGUAUGCUUUUAUCUCCUAUAGAUUCACAUAUAUGAGUUAUAGUAACAUGUGGACAUCAAUAAGAUCAUAUCACUAAAUUCUGUUAGGAAACCUCAUAUACUCAAUGUGCUGUAUGUAUAUUAGCAAGUUGCAAGUAUGAUCUAUGCCUUUUAAGAAUCUUAUUUUUGCAGAAUGAUAGCUUUGCCCUUCACACUAUUUAUUGACCAGUAAGCAUGUCAGGAGCACUCCUGCCACAGAUACUGACCUCUGUGAACAUAAAGUGCACUAUGAUCCCUAUUGCUCCAUCACCACCUUCAAGUUUGCAUGGUGUGUGCCACCACCUCACCUGCAUGAGCCCAGGAGGUGCUCCAGGCAUGUAGCAGAAGCUCCCUCAAGCUCAGGAGAAGCCCAUGGAGGAGCAGGCCAUCCCCCCGCAGCCCACGGAUACCACAUGGAGCAGAUCUCCAUGUGCAGCCAUGGAGGAGUCUAUGGUGCAGCAGUGGAUGAGGCCUGGAGGAGCCACAGCACAUGACAACUGCAAGGCAUGGGUCAGCAGAACGAUAUCUACCAUACAGGCGGCUUAAGCUGCCAGAUGCAAUGGGAGCUACUGGCACAAGCAGGAUGAUGCUGCAGCUCACUAUGAGACUGGGUGGCUCGCAACUAUGGCUUGAUGAGAUGGCAUCUCCAGUAACCCAAUAGGUGGGAGUGCGAGCAGGUUGGUGCUUCACUGAAGGAAAGACUCCAAGGAAUUAACUUUUUGGUAGCUAUAUGAGGAAACUUGGUAAAAAGUCAUCAUCUUCUGAAUGGGUAUGUAUCUGCAGCUGAAUUUUAUUGCUUCUCAGUGGGUAUGUGAGCCAGGAUAGAGCCCAUGGGGCAUUUUGCAUGAAUGUUCUUCAGCAGGAAUGCAGACACUUGGUAAUUAAAAGAAAUGGAGAUUAUCUUUUUCCUAUCUUCUCAUGUCUGGUCCCCAAACUGGCCGAGGCAUUGCAGAGUGGCCAUUGUCAUCAUCAUGAAAAGCUUCGCUGCAGGCAGGAAUUUGGAGAGAUGACCUGAAUUUUAUACUGUUUCCUUCUCUCUUGACAGCUUGUCAGCAUAGCCAUAAAUGUUUAUUAGAGAUUUUCAACACAGAGAAAAGCUACUGACUAAAAUGUUCUUUAAUGGAUUUUACUGCUGUGAUGAGCAGGGCUGAUUUGCACUUGUGAUCGCCUAGACAUCUCCUGUGAUACUCCAGUAUUUCCUUGUUGGUUCAGAUGUUAAAGUAGGUAAGCUUUCUUUAAUUCAGCUAACAUUUUCAGCAAAUCUAGCUGAUUGAAAAACCAAAAUAUCACAGAUGACAUUUGGCCCCGAGAUUAGGGGAAAUCAGGUAUGGGUGUUAGCUGACUCUUAAAAUCAGUGUCAGAAAAGUCAAUUCCUGUGCCAAUGCACCUUGGCUUCACACAACGCAUGGUGUGACCGUUUGUACCUUCAAAGACGCAUUGUCAAGAGACCCCCCAGAUUUACUUCCAGAUGAAAUAGAGGAAGUUGAGCAAAUAAAGGACAGAGAACUAAAGGUGAAGAGGAACAGGAGGAAGAGGAAAGAAAGAAUAAAGGGAUAGUUACACUAAGACAAAGGGCAGUGAAUGAAAUAAUCAUGCAACAAAGAUGGAAAUGGAGGCAGAAAAGGGGGGUAGAGAAUGGAAGGCAAUAGGCAGAAAUCCCUCCAUACUCUGCUCUGACUGCCAAGAGCACUGCUGUGCCUACCCUGACAGGAAUAGCUGCAGUUACACAUCCAGACUGUGCUGUAGGCUGGAGGAGGAAGGCCAUGUCUUGCCCAUAAUUACCCACUUAGUAUAGAAGGAAAAUUUGCUCAGGAUUUUAGGGGAUUACACUUUUUUGUGCAACUGCUAUUUAAAAUAUUCUUUUCAAGUGGCGCAACAUUUUACCUGCUCACAGGAAUACCAAAAUACACUCUGAAAUGGGAGGUAUUUGAUGCAUUCAAAAAUUAGAGGAACAAAUUGCUUCCUGCAUAGUGAUAAAUAUAAUGCACUCCAUUUGUAGGAAUAGUGCUUAUAAUAGUUAUGUCUUCAGAAUAAUAAAACAGGUUUAUAAAAUAAAGUUACCUGCUGUCUAUUUUUUGCUGGUGAUAAGAGUUGUUAAGGAUUUGCUGGUCUUUUUAUGUGUUUAUUUGUGACUAGUGCUUCCCACAAAAUACCCGCUACUGUGCAAAUGCAAUUAAGAUAAGCAUUUUGAAAUGGGUUUGAAACAGUUCCCUCUUCUGGAUAGAAAGCAGUAGCAGGGACCAACAUCAGUGUGUAAACACAGAACACAGGGCAGUCUUUGAAUUUCCUAACACAGAAAUGAAUAAAUCUUUGCUCUGUAAACCAGUUCUGUAGAAGAAAGAUUUCAUGGUGUCACUGGGCUCGGCAGUAAUAGUUACCCCUUUUCUCUGUCUUGAAGUCUCAACAGCUGGUAGAUUUACUUCGACUUUCAGCAAUACGCCUCUUUCAAAUAAAUAUCACUUUCUCAGGGUAUGAAAUGGGUGUUGAGCAAACACAGACACAAAGCAAAAGCCAAAACUCACAAACAAACAGUAUUUGCAUGUUUCAGAAAUGCUGUAUGUUUUAAAAGUAUGUGGUAACAUAAAUAUUUUGCAGUGAUUUCAUAGAAUUGAAAGCUUCUAAAAGAAACUGGGGAAGUUUUGAAGUACUGCCUCUGGAUACAACUUUAUUCUUGAAGCAACUUACUACUUCUCAACAAGAAAUUCAUCUGUUGAACUGUUCUGCUGUUUGUUCUCAGACCAGUAAGUAGCAGCUGGACCUAAUGUGGGCCUUUCUCAUGCUGAAAAACGCACCUGCUUUCAUGCAGCCAGGGAGGCAGCAUUAAUACUCUACUGCAGCCAGGAACAUACGUAUGAGCUACCAAUUAGGAAACCUUUCAAAGUGUGGCUUUGCAGCCCAUCUGUGAUCUGCAGACCUCAGCUUGGGAACCAUUAUUCUCCUCUAGCAGCACCUGGGGAACAGGAGGGAUGGAAAACUGUGGGGCUUGGGAGAGCAAAGUCUAUUAAAUACUAUGGCAACAGGUAGGCAAACAGCAUUCUCCCUCUCUCCUUUACUAAUUAGUGGCUGUUAGCAUCUGGAGUUGACUGUCUGUUGGAUGUAAUUUGCUACACUCCAUCUUGUGAUGGUGCAAAGAAGCUGAAGGAUGAUACAAGGAGCAGUCAAGCUGAGAGGCAAAGGAACUAUUAGGGAUGAACUCCUGCUUACACAUUUUUCAAUACCCUGUUUAAAAUAAAAUCAUGCUCCUGGAGGCCUAGGAAGAAUGUGCCUAAAAGUUACAUCUUCUAUCUUGUCUGAAUUAUUUUACUUAUGUUCCUUGCAACCUCUUUGGGAAAAAAAAAGAAAAGAAAAAAAGCCCAGUAUGGCUCUUUUCACUUGUUCAAAAUUUCCAGAAUAUGAAAUUGUUCGUGGAAAUGAAAUCUGCCAUGGUAAGUCUAAGGAAAAUCUUUCUCAUUACCCUUUUGGUGAUCCAAGCCUGCUGGAAAGGUGAGUUUUCUAUAAGCUCUGCCCCAGUAGGAUGCUAGUAGAAAGCCUGGGAAGGAGCCAGGGGCAGGGAUUUCCCUAGCCAUAUGGCAAAGCAGGUUCACCUUAGUUCUUCCCCAGAGAGACAGUAGUGGAGUCAUCUUCUUACUGAAGGUGAAUCUUUCAAGACCACUGUCUCUCUGUUUCAUACCAUUGAGUUUGGCCUACAGGGUUCAAAAUUAUUUGGAAAGAGAAGAGAAAGUAUGUCUGAAGGCCCAGACGUCAUAUGUUUGUAAAAGUUUGACUUUCUGAGGAAACCAAGAAAAAAUAUCAGGCAUAAAUAAUAAAUAUUGCAGAGGCAUAAACACUCAGCAUGUUUGAAAGCAGGAGUGCAAUUGGACCUCUCUGUUCAAUGGUACUGAUAUUUUAUGCUUGAUUGUAUUAAUCUCCUUCAUUUGGUGCUCAAUUACUGCCAAGCCCAACAGAGUUUCCUAUGUGUGAGGCUGGAGAGGAAAAAGGAGGUGGCACUGAGUGAUGUCAAAGGAAGAACCUAGCAGUUGAAACCAUGCCCAGGACCUAAUGCAGCGUUUCAAGGAUUCUAUACAAAACUAAAUAGGUUGCUAUAUAUUCAUUAUUUAAGUACCAAGCUGUGUUGUAUGAAAGAACUCAAACUGUAAACUGGGAUAGGCUGCAGAAAUGACUACCAAAAAAUAAAAAAAUUAAAAAAAAAAAGCAAAAAAAGCCUCUGAGCCUCUGGUGAAGCCUGGGGAGAAGAAGCCCUUGACUCUGGAUUUUUUAAGACUGCAGGAAAGUCAGAGAAUCAUUUAGGUUGGAAGAGAUUUCUAGUUCCACCAAGCCCAAUCAGUCUUUGAUUUGGGGUGUUUUUGGUUCUCUUUUGCUAUCUUUUCUGUUUCACUCAUAUGUUUUACACAAAAUAAUUUGACAUUUUUUCCCAAAGAUUAAAUUCAGCAAUUCAGUGGAUGGUAGUGGAUUAAGUUCUGCCUGAAGUUUCUUCACGUAAAAAUUAUAUGUAAAAAAUGUAAGGAAGUGCUAUUUCUUUCUACAUAUACACAAUACCUAUAUCAAAGGUAGCUUAAUACUUUGCGUGACUAAGUUAGAUAUUCCCAACUACAGGAUUUUACUGCCUGUGGUUAUGGAAAUUCAUUUGUACUGCAUUUUGGCUCUGUGGCCCAUUGAGUUUAUUCUAGCUUUUUUUUAGCCUUCAAGAACAUGAGUCAUUUCAUGAGAAUGAGAUUGCAAAUCACUCACAUUGUCAGUUUUCCCCCAGCAUUCUUCCCUGAGAACUUCUGAAAGAGUUGGGCCUGGGGGACACUACACCAGUCAUUCCCUAAGAGUGCCACUGGCAUCUUGUUGGUUUUAAUUGGUCUGUGUUUUUAAGAUAGUUUUUCUACAAUCUCAGUUGCUGUCACUUUGCAGUACUCCUUAAAACAUAUGUAGAAAGCAAUUAUCUCUUGCCCAAAAUGACAUAUAAGGUUGAGAAGCAAUUCUGGAUUUCUGUCAUUAAUAUAUUCUGGGUUUUUUCUGUGUGUGUGUGUGUUUUUGUUUUUGUUUUUAAUCUUAUUUGAAAGAAACCAAAUUAGUGAAAACCAAGUAAAGGUCUCAAAAUCUGGCAAGCAUUUAUCUUAUUGGAAGGAUUUUCCAGGAGAAAUUGUUUUACCAGUAUUCAAAAUGUUAGUCAUACCAGACAAUGAAUGACGACUGGAAGUACGGUGGAGAAAAUUGGGUAAAUGCACAACUAUAAAUGACAAGACUUUUUUUCCUUUUAUGAGAGCUAUUUUAAUUAUUUUCUGCUUCUUUUACUUUGAAGAUAAACACACAGAUUUUGGACAAGUUGUUCAUUAUGCUAUUGCUUGUUACAUCUACAAACCCAUUAACUUACUGAAUUGUCCUAGUUUCUGUUUUGUCUGGCGUGUUAAUUUAUAGACGUAAACGAAUGAUCUUGGCUUUAGUUUAACCAGAAAGGCCCAGCAAUCUGAGUAUGGGUUGAUUAUAUCAUAAACUCCUUAAAGAGGAGCACACAUGCACUCAGAACUUAUGAUUAAAUGGUGUGGCAGUGAGACAGGCCAUUAUAAUCAUUUUUACUUAGUAUACCAUUUUGACAUGUUCUGUACCACAGCUGCAAGUAAAUAUGUAAUAACUUGGUGAACUGUUGUCCUGAUUUCAGCCGAAGCAGUGUUAGUAGCACACCAAUGUUUGGGUGUUGUUGAGUGAUGGGAUCACACUCAGGGCUGGGCCAUUCAGUGGGGCAGAGCUGCCGCCAUGAUGGAGCGGGGCAAGGAGUGGCCAGGACAGUACCUGAAUGAGACACGGGGUUGUUCCAUACCACUGACACCACAUGGAAGGCCAUAAAGCUGUGGACAGUUGGCUGUGGGGUAGCCACUGCUUGGGGGCUGCUGUGUGUCAGCCAGUGGUGAUGAGAUCUUGUGCUGCUGGCACAAGUUGAUGGCAGUUGUGUUGUUACUGGGUGUCAGUCUGUGGGUGGUGAGUAAUUGCAUGGCUGCUAUAUGUAUUGUGAUCAUUGCAUAUUCACUUCAGUUUUCCUCUUCUGUCUCAGUAAAUAGCUUCUAUCUCAACCCACCAGUUCUAUUUUGUUUCUGACAGUUGUAAGGAAUAGCAUAGCUGCCCUGCAGAAAAGAAGCCUGAAAAUACCAUCAGCCUCUGCUGCAAACACCAGAGUCUGUCAUCAGCCAGAACAAAAGCAAGUACUUCAUUUGUACUGUGAGAGGGAUUUGCAGCCUCCCAUGCUGCAGCUGUCCCUGCUUGAGAAUUGUAAAAAGAACAGAGAAGCAGUGAUGGUUGCAGAGACAAGAAGCACCAGACAGGUCAAACCAGUGUUGCAUGCACAGCCCCAAGAGAAGCUAUUGGAGAGAGCCUUAUGGCCAAACGGAAACAGAGGUCCUCUUGAUGUCCUCUGAAGAGCAUCUCUCCUGGGCAUCAUUGUGCAGCCUGAGCUCUUGCCCGGGAGUGAGUGAUCACAGCUGAUAUCCUGGGGCCUUCCUGAGGAGUAAGGCUGAGGUAUUUUAAAUGCACUUUGGAUGGACCUGAAGAAGUUUAUUCCUCUUAAUAAACAAUGUUUUUGAAUAUGUUUGGAAACCUUUGCUUAA
This is a long non-coding RNA of Gallus gallus (chicken), 24207 nucleotides long. RefSeq lists it as uncharacterized. The transcript has 4 exons. The record is from RefSeq and is a predicted model, not a curated record. NCBI's taxonomy places the organism in Eukaryota, Metazoa, Chordata, Aves, Galliformes, Phasianidae.